Non-coding RNA from Phrynosoma platyrhinos (Desert horned lizard), 70 nucleotides. The record is from the annotation of a GenBank genome assembly. Lineage: Eukaryota; Metazoa; Chordata; Lepidosauria; Squamata; Phrynosomatidae.
GGCAGUUGUGCGUAGUGGUUUGGGUGUUGGACUGACUCUGGAGACCAGGGUUCAAAUCCCUGCAUGGCCA